GUCUCCUGCACGUAUCAAAACCCAUUAACAAACAGCCACAAUCCGUGCCCUGGGGAAGCAGAGCAAGCUGCUUUUCUUUUUCUUGGCUGGCUCAGCCCGUGCUGGAGUUGUGGGACUUUUCAUCUGUGCACUCAAGAGGAGCGGAGUAAAAGUAGGAUGAUAAAUUGUGGAAAAAAAAGAAACUCGCUGGCUUUGCUCAGAACCUCUGGCCUGCAGCUCCUCCUCUCGCUGUACUCCUUCCAGCACCCCAGAAUUCCCUGCCUCCCUGCAUGUUAUGGCACCUUUGGGAUGUGUUAGUCAUAAGCAUGAAGCUACUGGUGCUUUGCAGGGAUAUUUUCACUCUGGCUCUGGCAGGAGAGCUCUGACACAGCCCUGCUGUCGGCAGCGCUCGCUCAACGACGCCUCCUGAGAUCCCAAAACUCCAAAAAAAAAAGGGGGAAACGGCCAAUUUUCAUUUCCUCAGGGAACAAUGAGAAAAUUUGUCUUUCUGAGCCUAUCUCCUUCUGAAAUGAGCUCCAGGAGUAGUCACAACCUGCCAUAAAAAUGCCAUGUGCAAGAGAAUAUAUUUAAUAUGGGGCAGGCAGAAUGGAACGAUACGAUCUGUUUGGGGUUUGAAGCACCAAGGUUCUGACUCUGCUCCUUGGGAACCUUCCUCAUCCAGAUCACAGGGAUUUCCAAAAUUGCAGCAUUCCCUCAAAGCUGAAAAUAAAUCUCCAGAAAUCUCUUGGAAAACUGAAGAUGAAUCUCCAAAAACCUCCUCCAAAGCUGAUGAUCACUACCAUUACUGAGCGGAAUGCCAGCUGCUGAUGGCCCUCACAGGGACAGACCCAAAAGGAGACCAAGCUGCACAAAGAGAACCAGCAGAGUCUUGGAUCAGGGUUCUGCUGGUGGCUUUGGUGUCACUUCCACUCUCACCAGCCCUGCCAGG
This 928-nucleotide long non-coding RNA is filed under the name Junco hyemalis (dark-eyed junco). RNAcentral's name for it is "lncRNA (ENSJHYG00000001181.1)". Lineage: Eukaryota; Metazoa; Chordata; Aves; Passeriformes; Passerellidae. The record is from RNAcentral.